CCGGUUCCGGUUCACGCCCGUCCCGACCACACCGUCGGGGGCACCUCACCCGGGCGACCCGGCGACC
Micromonospora rosaria is the source of this 67-nucleotide regulatory RNA element. It matches the Rfam family "L31-Actinobacteria ribosomal protein leader". The record is from Rfam. Lineage: Bacteria; Bacillati; Actinomycetota; Actinomycetes; Micromonosporales; Micromonosporaceae.